This 497-nucleotide ribosomal RNA is filed under the name uncultured bacterium. RNAcentral's name for it is "partial 16S ribosomal RNA". It matches the Rfam family "Bacterial small subunit ribosomal RNA", at positions 28 to 507 of the family's 1533-position model. The record is from RNAcentral.
GAUGAACGCUGGCGGCGUGCCUAAUACAUGCAAGUCGAGCGAACAGACGAGGAGCUUGCUCCUCUGACGUUAGCGGCGGACGGGUGAGUAACACGUGGAUAACCUACCUAUAAGACUGGGAUAACUUCGGGAAACCGGAGAUAAUACCGGAUAACAUGUUGAACCGCAGGGUUCAACAGUGAAAGUCGGUCUUGCUGGCACGUAUAGAGGGAUCCGCGCCGCAUUGGCUAGUUGGUAAGCUAACGGCUUACCAAGGCAACGAUGCGUAGCCGACCUGAGAGAGUGAUAGGCCACCCUGGAACUGAACCACCGUCCCGGCUCCUACGGGAGGCAGCAGUAGGGAAUCUUCCGCAAAGGGCGAAAGUCUGACGGAGCAGCGCCGCGUGAGUGACAAAGGUCUUCGGAUCGUAAAACUCUGUUACUAGGGAAGAACAAAUGUGUAAGUAACUAUGCACGUCUUGACGGUACCUAAUCAGAAAGCCACGGCUAACUACGUG